GGGGAAUAUUGGACAAUGGGCGAAAGCCUGAUCCAGCCAUGCCGCGUGAGUGAUGAAGGCCCUAGGGUUGUAAAGCUCUUUCAGCGGGGAAGAUAAUGACGGUACCCGCAGAAGAAGCCCCGGCUAACUUCGUGCCAGCAGCCGCGGUAAUACGAAGGGGGCUAGCGUUGUUCGGAAUUACUGGGCGUAAAGGGCGCGUAGGCGGAUUUGCAAGUUAGGGGUGAAAUCCCGGGGCUCAACCCCGGAACUGCCUUUAAAACUGCUAAUCUAGAGUUCGGGAGAGGUGAGUGUAAUUCCGAGUGUAGAGGUGAAAUUCGUAGAUAUUCGGAGGAACACCAGUGGCGAAGGCGGCUCACUGGCCCGAAACUGACGCUGAGGCGCGAAAGCGUGGGGAGCAAAC
Molecule: ribosomal RNA, 400 nt
Filed under: uncultured bacterium
Lineage: Bacteria
Description: bacterial SSU rRNA
Rfam family: Bacterial small subunit ribosomal RNA
Source: RNAcentral